AGAGUCAGGAGGAAACAGAGAGGUAACCAACAGCAACUCUGAAGCAGCUGCAGGAAUUUGACAAAUGUCCCUUUCACACACAGUCUUUACUGAUAAAUAACCAGUAAAUACCAUUAAGAAAUCGUGUGUGAACAGGACCUUUUCAAAAUACUGGUAAAUUUGUUAAGGCAAUUUAGCGGUAUGGGAAGUUGUAACAUUACCGGUAAUGCGCUCUGUGUGUACGCAGAAUGAGAUUACCAGUAUGAACACGUACGAGUUUAGAACGCACUGACGUAAGACGUCUACUCUGGACCAAUCAUUACAUUCUGACGCAGAUGAUGCAUUUACUCUGCACUGUGUAGUUUGGUUUGAAGUCAUCUAAUACGAUGUUUCUGGGCCAAAAACAACUGCAUGAAUGUGAACAUUUGACACAAGACUGAAAAAGUAAAAUGUUAAAAAAAUGUUUACAAACAGAACACCGGGAGGUGCAGCCAUUUAGGAGUCAAUUCCAGUUAAUGAUGUCACAGAAUUUACUGGUAUUUUGAAACUGAUGUGUGAAUGGCGUUUUACCGGAAAAAAAGACGGAACGUCGUUGCCUGUGUGAACAGCACAUCUUUGUAUUUACCAGUAAAGUCGUUAUGAUAAUUUUACAGCAAUUUACCAGUAUUGCUGUGUGAAAGAGGCUAAAGAGUGGUCAUUGAGUGCAUGUGAUUUCAGAAAAUGUGUCUAUUUUUUUCUAGAAGGCUGCCAUGAAUUAAUGAAUCCAGCUUUCCCAUGAUGUAAACCCAAUGUUCAGUUUUGUAGAAUAAUAAUAUGCAGUUAUGCUCAUGGUUCAGACUCAGCUGAGUUGGUUUUUAGGCAGUGGGUAAUGGGUGCAGGGUUUGAAAUGUUAGGAUGAAUGAGUUCAUCAAUACAAGUUAAAUAAAGUGCUGAUGGUGAGCUGUCUGGUGAGUAAUGCUGCUACCUGACCUCAGUCUGAAUAGAUAUAAUCUCUUUCACUCUCUCUUGCAAACACACAAUGAUGGCUUUGGAAUUUAUUGCAUAAGUGCAAAUAAUGAAAUCACAACAGAUUACCGAUAAAUAAAGGGUAACAGGAGGCCUCAGUAGUUUUUGGAACAGUGUGUUUUAUGCAUCUCAGUUCCAUUCUUAUUUCUUUAAGAAAAGAUUUGUGGACUUUGUGACGUUUGUGCGACAUCUUCAUGUAACUGCUAGUUUUACAAUUGCCCCAAAAACAUUUGGAUCCUUUGGGUCCCACACUUUAUAAAUGACAUUGCAUUAUAUAACAAAAUAUCAAUUUGAGUGGCAUUUAUACAAAAGAAAAAUAGCACAAGCAAAAUGUUUGGACUUUAUUUUUUUGAUAACUCAGAGGCCAAAUAAAAAUGUAAUUGCCUCUUCAUUUCAGACAAAAUAAAACUAAGAGG
Molecule: long non-coding RNA, 1400 nt
Organism: Cyprinus carpio carpio
Lineage: Eukaryota; Metazoa; Chordata; Actinopteri; Cypriniformes; Cyprinidae
Source: Ensembl